RNAcentral lists this transfer RNA (72 nucleotides) under Cylindrobasidium torrendii FP15055 ss-10. RNAcentral describes it as "tRNA-Pro (CGG) (tRNA-Pro-CGG-1 1 to 4)". It matches the Rfam family "tRNA". From Rfam's summary of the family: Transfer RNA (tRNA) molecules are approximately 80 nucleotides in length. The record is from RNAcentral. Lineage: Eukaryota; Fungi; Basidiomycota; Agaricomycetes; Agaricales; Physalacriaceae.
GGCUUGAUGGUCUAGUAGUAUGAUUCCUGCUUCGGGUGCAGGAGGUCCCGGGUUCAAUUCCCGGUCAAGCCC